Molecule: long non-coding RNA, 561 nt
Organism: Talpa occidentalis (Iberian mole)
Lineage: Eukaryota; Metazoa; Chordata; Mammalia; Eulipotyphla; Talpidae
Exons: 3
Source: RefSeq, a predicted model, not a curated record
ACCUCUGGCUCGUUCCAUAGCCCGUGGUCCGCGCUCCCUACAGUUACUUGACCUCAAGGAUUCAUACCCACCAUGGAGAGCUCUCAAGGCACUAAGGGACCCUAAAAGCAACCAUAUUGAAGGGAAACUCUUCUUAAAUGAUGACAUAUAGCAAGUUGGUAAAGUAUACCUUCUCGAACAAAGAUGCAACAAUUUCUUUUUCUCCCCACUUUGUCCUUCCAGAAUUAAAAACUCUUGGUCAGUAUUCUUACAUUUAUGACAAAAUAUUUGUAUACAUUCAACAACAACAACAAAAAAAAUCUGUUCUCCUUGUAACAGACUGCAAUGGAAAACACUGUACUACCAAGGCUGUGUCUAGGAUGUCAUAUUUAAGAAUGAUAUGCAUUGAAUCAGAUAUAACAGACAGCUUUAAGGAACUAAGGUUGACUUUAAGGAACCAAAGCUUACAAAAACACCCUUUCAAUUCUUUUGGUUGACCUGUGCAAAAAAACAAAUCUCCUAGGGAAUGAUAGUGUAUUAUUGCAGACAGCAUGGUGAUGACUGUACAGAUGUGCUUUUAUU